Molecule: ribosomal RNA, 305 nt
Filed under: Gracilimonas sp.
Lineage: Bacteria; Pseudomonadati; Balneolota; Balneolia; Balneolales; Balneolaceae
Description: partial 16S ribosomal RNA
Rfam family: Bacterial small subunit ribosomal RNA
Source: RNAcentral
ACAAUGGAGAGUUUGAUCCUGGCUCAGGACGAACGCUGGCGGCGGGCUUAACACAUGCAAGUCGAAGGAGAAGGUAAGUGCUUGCACUUACUGGAGACUGGCGGACGGGUGAGUAACGCGUAGAUAACCUGCCUAUACCUGGGGGAUAACAUUUCGAAAGGGAUGCUAAUACCGCAUAAUGCAGCGGGGCCGCAUGGCCACAGUUGUUAAAGGUUUCGGCCGGGUAUAGAGGGGUCUGCGUGCUAUUAGUUAGUUGGUGAGGUAACGGCUCACCAAGGCGAUGAUAGCUAGGGGGUCUGAGAGGA